UACUGACUCUGCUAACUUCUCUUUCCUGUCAACUCCCCUCUCAGGAUUCUGGCCGCUUUCCAAAAGGUGAGCGAUCCUAGUCUAGUCCUCCUGGUGACUGUGCUGUGUCCUCUGACGUCCCCUUCCCUGCCAGCUGCUCCAUCUCCAUUGCACAGACAUCUUCUGUCUGAUGCCCACUUGCUCUUGGAUUGAUUCCUCUAGUUUUCUAAAACUGAUUUGCUCUAGGGUGCUUAACCCCCACUUCCAUCCCAUUACAACUGUGUGUUGUAAGGAUUGUCUCCCAGAAACUCACUGUAAAAUAAGGGCUAGCUUGGAGUCUCCCACUAUUGUUGCUCCUCUAUGACAGAACACAAGCUGGGCUAAGGAGAAGCCCCUUUGGAGCAACUGAACUCUAGUUCAGUUUUAGGUCUCAAACAUGGGCUAAAAUCUGUUAUCCUAGUUCGUUCCAGGUAAAAAUGAGACUCGGACAUCCCUGGUCCUUCACUGUAUUAAGCUUAUUCUUAAUUGUCAGUGGGGCGCUCCAGUCUCACCACUCGGCAGCACUGCUGCGGUUCUGGAUGCCCUCCUGGGCUUCAUGUCUGCGAGCAGCCAGGGAUGCCAUCAUUCAGAGUGACAGGGUCACGCAGCUGUAAGUCAAGGCAGCUUGAAACUUCUCAGAUCAAAGGGGAAAACUUGGGUAGUUUACACUGUCAAGCUCAGUUUAGUUAGAGGUUCCAGGAUGCUUAUUUCCAAUUUGGUCUUUAAUUCUAGACGAGCUUAAUAAAACACUUAUAGCCUUAAACCAUUCAAGGGCUGGUAAAAAUACACAGAACUAUCUUAGCCACAAUAUUUGAAUCAAGUGAAUAUUUUAAGCUGUCAUUAAGUGUUGCAACUUUAAAAAAACAAAAUGUUUACUUUGUGAUUUUCUUAAAACAAACUCUAGAAAAAAAAAUGUGUAUAAUCUGUUAUGGCAAAUGUUUUUUCCCAAAUAAAUGUCCUCUAACUCAUAGGAAUGAAAACACUUAAAUGAAUAUUGUAAGCAUAUCUGUUAAUAAUUCCCACAAUUUUUUAAGCUAACAAAAUAAUAGAAUAUUUACUUAAUAGAAUUAAACAAAUUUUCAACCCAUCAAAAUUAUAUAUUAAACUAUUUAGGCAUAUUGGGGGAUAAAGACCUCCCCACCCCCAUCAGAAAGGGAUUUCUUAUUUUUAAGGCAAAAUGGUAUUUACUGUGAUGGGCAGAACAGCACUUUGUGUGUAAGAGAACAUUCUAGUUCUUUCCAAUAUCAUUUUAUGCUGUUCCUGGGGUCUUAUUUGGAAAAUAAGGAUAUCACUUUUUUGGUUUUCCUUUGAAAGAACUUACAUCUUAAGAACAUGGUAUCAUGGCUGGGGUGGCGAGGGAGGCAGGGAAAGCCAUUUUUCUUUGUAGAUAAAAAGCAUUCUGUGUGAUUGUUGUAUAAUAAAUUGAUUUUUACACUAAAGUAAAGCAGGUUGUGAUUUUUCUUAUUUGUUUUAGAGAAGUUAAAAUGUGUGCCUGCAAGGUAUUCCAAAUGACCUAUUACUCAGGAAUUUUUUUAAACAAUAAAAUGAUAUUUUAGCAAUUAA
Molecule: long non-coding RNA, 1581 nt
Organism: Equus asinus (donkey)
Lineage: Eukaryota; Metazoa; Chordata; Mammalia; Perissodactyla; Equidae
Source: Ensembl